Drosophila mojavensis is the source of this 1469-nucleotide long non-coding RNA. RefSeq lists it as uncharacterized. Lineage: Eukaryota; Metazoa; Arthropoda; Insecta; Diptera; Drosophilidae. The record is from RefSeq and is a predicted model, not a curated record. The transcript is spliced from 3 exons.
UAUGCUGUUUAUCGAAAUCAUCCCUGAUCGCGAAUAUGUGGCGGUCCGGUAAUAGGGUAAUCGAUUCCAAAUACAUACAGAGACAAAGCAAAUAAAAUCUAAAAUUCGCAGCUUAAUCAAUCAAUCAAAGUGUUUAAUUUCAACGUUUUCGUUAAUAGCAAACAGUGCUAAAAGUGAACUGUUAAAGCUUUUGUUCACUUGCGCUCACGCUUUGACGUGUCUGCACAGACACAAUUGUGUUACAAUUUGUAUACAUAUAUGGAAGCUCACAUACCCUUAAUUCUUAAAAAGUGCUUUAAGGAUAUAAAAAUUGAUCCUGAAAACAAUGUAAAUGUUACUGCAGCUUGUAAAAAAUGCUCUAAGCCAUUGAGGGGAAGUUUACAUUCUACAACAAACUUUUUGAAUCACUUAAAAACGAAAGGACAUGUUGAUUUGUUGACACAAUAUGAAAAAUUAAAAUUUAUAUCAACCAUGAAAAAAAGGAAGCACGACAAUGUUGGUGGUGAUAGUCCAGCUGCUAAAUCAUUAAAACAAAUUGAUUUGGCUGUCUAUAAAAACUCUGUUGAUUUAGAUAGUUUAAUUGUAAGCUUUGUAGUAAACACCAUGUCGCCUAUUUCGAUUGUAGAACAUCCAUCGUUUAAAGCUUUGCUUGAAGGAACACAGCAAUCAACUGUUCGGCCAAAAAUAAUGUGCAGGCAGAGUUGUAAUAAACAAAUAACUGCAAAAUACUGCAAAUAUUUGGAAAAUACAAAAGAAACUUUGAAAAAAGUAGAUUUUGUUUGCACCACUGCGGACAUAUGGUCCUCUUCAAGAAGAAGCUAUCUGGUUGUAACUGUACAUUGGAUUGAAAGCCAUACGUUUGAACGUAAAAGCGCGACUCUAGCUUGCAGACGAUUCAAGGGAACGCACAGCUACGACAAGGUAGCUGAACUUAUCGUGGAAAUUCAUUUGGAGUUUGAUUUAAGCCCCAACAAAACAUUUAAGACUGCCACCGACAAUGGAUCCAACAUGGUUAACGCGUUUGCAUCGUUCGGACAGCAUGAAGACGCCGUUGAAAAUCCAGAUUCCAUUAAACUUCCACAAGACAUUAAAGAAGAUAAUGACCAUGAUGACGAGCUCCAACUAAUACAAUUUCCUGAGUCGUCUGAAGAAUUUGAGCAGUGGCAACUUCCAAACCAUGAGAGAUGUGCAUUUAAUAGCAUCACACGAUAUGGAGAAGGCAAGAUCGUUAAAUAAGUCAUACAAAAAACUUUAUGAUGCAUCUAUGGGAAAAUGUCAGGCAAUUUGGAAUUUGUGUUCUAGAUCUCCUAAGUCCUGUGAAAUAUAUACCGAAAUGACUGGAAAAUCUCCUACAUCACCUUGUGCAACUCGGUGGAAUUCGUAUUAUAACUCAAUUAAAAACCUUUUGUCCGUUAAGGAAAAUUUAAAUGACACUUUAAAGAAACUUGGGUUAUCCGUUUUUAAAGAAA